This 493-nucleotide ribosomal RNA is filed under the name uncultured bacterium. RNAcentral's name for it is "partial 16S ribosomal RNA". It matches the Rfam family "Bacterial small subunit ribosomal RNA", at positions 30 to 523 of the family's 1533-position model. The record is from RNAcentral.
AUUGAACGCUGGCGGCAUGCUUUACACAUGCAAGUCGAACGGUAACAGGUUAAGCUGACGAGUGGCGAACGGGUGAGUAAUGCAUCGGAACGUGCCCGAUCGUGGGGGAUAACACUUCGAAAGAAGUGCUAAUACCGCAUACGAUCUGAGGAUGAAAGCGGGGGACCGUAAGGCCUCGCGCGAUCGGAGCGGCCGAUGUCAGAUUAGGUAGUUGGUGGGGUAAAGGCUCACCAAGCCGACGAUCUGUAGCUGGUCUGAGAGGACGACCAGCCAAGCUGGGACCGAGACACGGCCCAGACUCCUACGGGAGGCAGCAGUGGGGAAUUUUGGACAAUGGGCGCAAGCCUGAUCCAGCAAUGCCGCGUGCAGGAAGAAGGCCUUCGGGUUGUAAACUGCUUUUGUACGGAGCGAAAAGGCUCCCUCUAAUACAGGGGGCUCAUGACGGUACCGUAAGAAUAAGCACCGGCUAACUACGUGCCAGCCGCCGCCGUAA